AGUGAACGCUGGCGGUAGGCCUAACACAUGCAAGUCGAACGGCAGCACAGUAAGAGCUUGCUCUUACGGGUGGCGAGUGGCGGACGGGUGAGGAAUACAUCGGAAUCUACUUUUUCGUGGGGGAUAACGUAGGGAAACUUACGCUAAUACCGCAUACGACCUACGGGUGAAAGCAGUGGAUCUUCGGACCUUGCGCGAUUGAAUGAGCCGAUGUCGGAUUAGCUAGUUGGCGGGGUAAAGGCCCACCAAGGCGACGAUCCGUAGCUGGACUGAGAGGAUGGUCGGCCACACUGGAACUGAGACACGGUCCAGACGCCUACGGGAGGCAGCAGUGGGGAAUAUUGGACAAUGGGCGCAAACCUGAUCCAGCCAUACCGCGUGGGUGAAGAAGGCCUUCGGGUUGUAAAGCCCUUUUGUUGGGAAAGAAAAGCAGCAGGUUAAUACCCCGCUGUUCUGACGGUACCCAAAGAAUAAGCACCGGCUAACUUCGUG
This 492-nucleotide ribosomal RNA is filed under the name uncultured bacterium. RNAcentral's name for it is "partial 16S ribosomal RNA". It matches the Rfam family "Bacterial small subunit ribosomal RNA", at positions 29 to 507 of the family's 1533-position model. The record is from RNAcentral.